Lagopus muta (rock ptarmigan) is the source of this 6906-nucleotide long non-coding RNA. RefSeq lists it as uncharacterized. NCBI's taxonomy places the organism in Eukaryota, Metazoa, Chordata, Aves, Galliformes, Phasianidae. The transcript is spliced from 4 exons. The record is from RefSeq and is a predicted model, not a curated record.
CCUUGCUCCCUGCCCGCCUGUAGUACUACAGUGUGCUCAGCCUGUAGCAAAGUGCUGUGAGGAAAGGCUGAGGUUCCCCUUGUUCAGCACUGGAGCUAAGAUGGUUUCUGCCAGCCCGAGGAUCCCACCCUCUUCCAGAGACACAGGUAUGUAAUGUGCAGAAGUCAUGGGCCUCCUGUGUUCUCUCCAACUCCACAGCUUGGGCUAUCUUGACUGCAGGAGCACGCUGUUCAAAAAAGCUGUAGCAGUUAAGUUUUAGAAGCAGAUACCUGGAUGGAGAUGCUUUUUCAUCAAAAGAAAACUUUUGCACAGAUGUGGUUGACACAGGAGGGCAUGAUCUCAUCCCAUAUGUCAUCAUUAAUCUUAGCUGAGAUAACUGCAAAUGUGUGACCGUCACACAUGCAAUGACACAAAACAUGAAGCCAACAGGAAAGUACCUGGCUACCAGCUACAUGUGGUAGUACAAGUAAAUCAGACUGAACUGCAACAGCUGAGGAUAUUAGAUGAACUUGCAAGUUCCAUGAAGAAAUUACUUAAAAAAUAAACAAAAAACCACAACACCACCUUUGCCUGUCUCUGUGGCUGCUACCAAUAUGGGUGAAACGUGUCAGCAUUCCAUUAUGCUCAAGUCAUCAAUGUGCAAUUUAGAAGUUACUGACUUGUCUCUGUAUUUCAAAGCAGAACAUCAUCAUGAAAACUGUUUGCAGGGAAAGUUGUAACAUAUUGCCUGAACCAUCCGUAUUGCUGGUUGAUGAUGGCAUGUCAUGGGCAGUACAGAUGACGGCAUGUGGAUAGUCUGUUUUACUGGUCCUGACCAUCUGCUCUGAGAGAAGGCCCAUACAGCCACAUAGAACUCCCCAGACCUCAUGGGACUCUGCACCAGUGGGAUUCUGCAGACGUAUAUUUGCAGUAUCACAGUCAGCAACAGCACAAGCUUGGUUAGAACUUGUAACUGGCUGGGGACUUGAGUCUGUCUGUCUUCAUAUCACCAGAGUCCAAAACCACUCUACUUCCUAUGCCCAAAGGAAAAGUAACAUCUGUUGUGACAGAUUUAUGCAUAUGCUCACCCUUGCUUCAGAGUAAAGAUCUGCGGUGACACUGACUUGCAAAAUGCAAUGAAGACACAGGUAGGUAGGCAAAGGAGUGUGACAUGGGACGCUGACACCAUGCAGGUAUGUACCUUACAAAACCACCAAUUCCAAUUUUUUGCUAUUGGAGUGUUUCAGUGCACAUCCUCCAUCUGAGCAAAGGCUGCGAGCCAGGGCUGAGCACUGUGCGUGCCCUGAACUGAAGGAGCAGUGAAAGGUACUGUCAAUAAAGCACUAUUUAGUGCUUAUCUCAGCAAGCUUCUACCAGGUGCUAAUGCACCUGCUCCUUAGCACCCCUGGGAAUGCUGUGACAGCUGCUGGUGGGAGCAGUGUAUGAUGGGCAGUGCCAGAGGGCGUGCAAUUCAGGGUCCCAAACCCCAUGGAGUACACUGAAUGGGAAAAGUUUUAAAGUAGGUUACUUCCUAGGUGGUUCAAACUUGUAAUUCUUCCAAGUUACAUUUAUCUUUUACUAAUGUUCUCAGACUGCCUCUGUUCUGCUUGUGUGACUGUCAGAAGGGCAGGUGUCUGUGCAGAACCAGUUUUGCUGUAAACCUUCUUAUACACAGAUUCAAACUACUGAUUGUCAAAGGCAAAUCUAAUUUUAAAAUGCCAAACUUGAUACUUGAAGGAACACGUUCUACAGUGGUAAGUUUCUAUCGUACUGUGAACUUCCUACUUUCUUCAGAUAUCUAAGAGCCUGGAACACAAUAAGUGCACAGGAGGAAAGGAUGUAAGAUGUAAUGAAGAAGAAAAUCCAAUGAUUUGGUAGAGGUCAACCCUCUCCUGUGAUCAUAGUAACCCUUCACAAAUCUCUUUAAUCCUAGUUAAAAAGCAAACAAACAAAAUAUCCAAAUAAACAAAGCCUUUAAAAAUUUGGAAAAUUAUUUUUUCUAAUUAAAUAUAAAUGUAAAACUUUGUCUGUUUUAGGUAGAGCACAGAAUCUGUCUUGUCACAGUUAAGAAGCCUUUUCCACAAAGAAUUCUUUCACAAAACUGGAGAUGAUAAGGAAAGAGAUGAAAAGCUGAAAGAAUCUGGAUCUGGGCAACUGCCAGAGCUGAUAUGAGCUGGAGGUGGGGAAGCAGCGCUGUGCUCAUCUGCUCUCACAGUGCUGUAUGUGGGCACUAGGGCUGCUGCUGCGGACAAGUGAGUGGAAUGGACAGACUAUUGGCAUGGCUCAGCAUGAUGCCUUUUUUGGCCUCUUAUCCACGUUUUUUUAUAGGACCUAAAGCAAACUGGAUCUCGAAUGACCUGACACCUAACCGCCUAACAACAGGAAACUGUAAGUAAGUGGCAUUACUGUUCUUUGAUCAGGUUAAAAUGGAUCAAUGACUACAGCUGGUAGGUCCUGCGUUGCUAUCAAGAUUUAUUUUUCAGGUGUUUCACUGUAGCUCUGCAUUCAAUGGAACCGUGGUAUUCCCUCACUAAAUGCCAUCUCUGUUUUCCUAGAGCCAAAAGGGGUGAGAAUGGAGAGGUGAAAGGCAGCAUUCUGACUUUGAAAGAGAGUUCCCCAGAAUCCUGAUGUGGAGUACAGUGAGUGUUGCUUGUCUGAAAUCAGAGCAGCUUUUCAUGUCAGAAAGCCAGACAGAUUUAGAUUUUCAGCAUCUGAGACUGAAAUACAUACAAAGUUCAAUUCUAGUGUCUUGGUGAUCUUGCUGAUCACCAAAUGCUGAUAUAUGGGCAGAUUCACCACCUCAGUACAAAUUCUAUUUCUGUUAUUUUUUGUGCUAAAUAGUAUUAUUAAGGGACAGAAUCAAAAUUUAGACUGAGUUGCAGCAGUGUGAUCCAUUGGCAGUGCUGUGCCAACAGCAGAGGAAUGGGCAACUCUGUCAUCUCACACAAAUGAUGAACAGAUCCAAUAAGCCCCUAUUUUAGUAUGCUUUGGCAAUGUUACACAAUCCCUGAAGAUAUUCAAGGCCAGGCUUGAUGGGUUCCUGGGCAGCCUAAUCUAGUGGUUGGCAACCCUGCCCCCAGCAGGAGAGUUGAAACCAGAUCAUCUUUUGAGGUCCCUUCCAACCCAAGCCAUUCUAGGAUUCUAUGAUAUUGUGAAAGCUGGAUGUAUUAUUAUGAGCUUACUUAUAUCUCUUGGCUGUUUUUUUUUUUUCUUUUUUAAUCGUUUUUAAAACAGAUCAUUGCAAGUUCUUGCUAAAAUCAUGACUCAUAUUUUACAUUUAUCUAUGCUCGCUCUUCAGGAAAAUGAUUAUCCUCAGGGAAUGCUAAUCAAAAUGUCUCUGUAAGUAGUGCCAAAAUGAGGUCUUCAGUUUUCUUUUGAGUGUGUGUUGAGGGGCCAUUAUUUUCACACAUUUUGUUUAAAUAUUUUUUAUAAUGUUUUUCUUAAUAUAAGGAAUUUUUUUUUCCUAUCUCCAUUGUUUUACUUGCUUUACUGUAAAUACACUCUGCAUAUAGGUUACACACACACACACAUAUAUAUCUCCUUGGAAUUUAACUCCUAAUUUCUUUUUAUCUCAGGCAACCAAGCCUCAGCUGAAAUUCUGCUGAAGAAGAAAAUCUGCAGUGCCUUUGUCUUGCUAUCAAGCUUGUGAUAAUGACAGGUAAGAAAACACACAUAGAUGGAGUUCUAAGUGUUGAAGCAAGAGCUAUGAACUUCACUGUCAGCAACACAUUUGAAAGGCAUGUUAAGACACUGAACUGCAAUGCUGAAAAGGAUUUUGUAGGAGCUGAGGAUCUCACCCCACCAAACCUGGACUAUUUGCAACCUCUUUCCCUUCACCCCAAUUUUGCCUUCUAAUUCCUACAAUUACUUUUAAAUGCCUAUUUGUAGGAAAAAAGGCAAAAAGAAAAACAUAACAAAGGAGCAAUUUUUGUAAAUUCAAUUUAUUCCAUUUUCAUGCAAGUUUUGUGAUGUUAACUGACGCUUCCAGAGUUGUUCUUAAUUUGGUCUUUUCUCUGGAAAGCAAUUGCAUGAAAAACAAUGCAAGUGCUGCAUCCUGUUGUAAACAUACAGCAAGUUGCCUGUAUAUUUGUCCUGCUACAUUUGGUUUCGUAUGCUGAUUUCCUAUAAAGUAUCAGUAAAGCAGAAUUGCUAUGCUUCAAGUGUUCAGUUUCAGAGCGAGUCAAGCAACAUUCUUGAUUACUGUGAUCUAAGGAGAAUUUCAAUAUUUUGUUGUGCUCUGAGCAUGAACAAUUUCAAGACUGCUGCUGUGCUUCAAUUUGCCCAGCUGCAUAUACUUUCACUGCAUUUUAAAUCUACAUGCUGCACUUCCAUGCCUGGAGAACAGGGAUAAAGGUUGCUGGGUAUGUUGCUUUCUUUCUAAACCUUUAAUGUGUACAGAACUCUCAUUAGUUUCUGGCAACAUGAAAAUUUUGUAUAUAAAGGAUUUACAGAAGAUGGGUGUUCUAGAACUGCUUAAUUAAGAUACAGCAAAAGUUUUAGUAAGAUUCUUCAGUGCCAUAUUAUAUCCUCUGAUCAGUGCUAAUUAGUUCAUUAUAUGCUUUUUGGAAAAUGGACAAAGCUGUAGAAAACAAGCAUUUGGCCUUCUGCUCAGAUGAAGGAGAGACAAAGCAUGCUGGGAUAGGGAGCCUCAGCUCUUAAUGUGAGACGGGGCUGGUUGCAGGACAUGGAAUACAGAUGAGGCCCUGAUUCAUGGGAUAAUAUUCAUAGUGAGAAGAAUAUGUGGCAAUAAUCAGCUUUUGCAUCAAGUGGAGCUGAGACAGUGAAUAACUCUAUAAGUGAUUUAUUGUGAAUAUAUUCCAAAGCUACAAGUGUAAUUUCUACUUAGCGUGGAAGACAAAACAAUAGAAGAUUAUGCAAACCACAACACCCAUAAUGACAAAAGUAAUGUUUUUCUUGCCUCGGCAGACUUGGAAAGUUCUGUGCUGCUGCCUUCUCAGACUUUCCUUUGGCGUCACUUUAGGGAUAGAGAUUAGGUGAGUUACUGUUCAAGGGUGGGUUCAAUAAGUGACUACUAUCUGUUGGCCUGCACGGGGACGGACAGUUGUGAUUGGACAUAGACUGUAACUGAAGGUGUAAGGUGCUUUUUACAAGGAGUAUUUUUACUUCUAGAUUAUGCUGAAAAACUUGUCAGAGAAUAGGUGCCGACACUCAGCUUGCUCUUGCAAGUAUGGCGUACACAAGUUAGGGAGGAUAAAAACAGGUCAACUUCAAUAUAUGCUGAGAACAUGAGAUUGUCAGUGACAAUAUAUCAAUUAAGGGUUUCAGAAGCCAGCAACAUUGUAUGAAAUAGGAAGACUAUUAUUUAACUAUAAAGGUUUUUUAUUGUUAUUUUUUUGUUCCUGGUGAACCUUUCUAAUAAAUUCAAGCUCUAAUUUUACUUGAAGCAUGUAUAAGAGAAAUUGAGCACAAGGAAAAGAAAAAAGAAUAUAGAAUAUUCCAUUUAGAAUAUAAUGUAUCCUAUAUUAGAAGAGGAAAAAGCUAUUUUAAAUCACAAGCUCAUUUCAGCAAAUGACAUCCUGUAAUCUAGGUUUCUAAUCGGCUCUCACCACAAUAUAUAAAUGGUGCAGAGAAAGAUACUUUACCUUCUCUGCCCUCCUUGUAUCCUACCACCUCUUGCAAAAACCCAAUCACUGCAUCAUUUUAUGACUGCACAUUCUCAUAUUCAAAACAGAUGAGAGAAAAUGAUUCUAGACAUUAUUACAAGAGUAGCAAAGUGUGGGAGGAGGAGCUCAACGUUAUUUUACUAGAUGAUUUUAAGUUUUCCAACUGUAACGAUUCUAUGGUUCUAUUAUUACUUCUUAAUUAGUAAGCAAAAGAAGCAUGACCUUUGGAAAAAAAAAAAAAUUGCUUCCGCACCCUUCCAUAAUAUCUGAAUAUGGUUUUGUGCUCUGUCAAAAUCAGCAGUUCUUUAUUUGCAGAACUUCUAAAAACUACUUAGUUAUGUCUAGAGAACAUUCCUUAUGUAAUAUAAAAAAACCCUGCGUUUUAUAAGAAAAGUAGAUUGAGAAUUCUUUGUUACACUUUGUCACUUUUCUGUCACACAUUUUAGAUUUCAUUUGAGCUAACUGUAAUGAAAAGUCACAAAAAGAACUUUAAGAUUUUUUUUUAUAUACUUGUGCUGAUUUGUUUUUAUUAUGCAUAACUUCUUUAAUCUCCCUAUUUAAAAAGUACUUAACAACAACCUUCCAGACAGCAAGCCUGUUCUAAGUUCUCCCUUGGGACACAUACAUGAUGAUAAGGCCAAAUGGCACACAGUCAUGGCCAUCUUUAAAAUUAUGGAGAAAAAUGGCUACACUUUAAUAAAAUGAACUGGAUGAUCUCAAAGUGGGCCUGAGUGAUAAUACAAAAACUUGAAAGCCAAGCAGACCUCAAUGGCAAAUCCUGUGCUUGCUUAGGUUGGUAAAACAUUCAUUUGGAUGACGGCUUCUAUCUUUUCUGCAACAAAAGGUCUACGUUUACCAUUUUUACUUCUAUAGAUCUCAAAGUAUAUGUAAAUGAAUGAAUGAAGGACCUAGAUAAUUCAGAUCUGUUCUGCAAUUUAGUCCGCGUUUUAAAGCAGAAGAGUUACCCAAAUUUUUAAGUGUAGACAAUUUCCAGUAGCAAUCGAGCCACAUAGGACGUGACUUCUCACAGUUAACUCACAGGUACCAUAUCAGCUCAGAUUUGGCUGUCAGGAAAUAGAACCUCAUUAGAGACAGCUAACUAUGAAAAGUCUUGGAGUAAGCUGCCUUUAUCCAAGAGAAAUAUCUUGUUGAGCUUUAGGGCAUGCCAAUCAGAAGUGUCAAGUUUCCUUUCUCUAUUAAAUGCACUUAGUAUAACAACUUGUCCCUGUCAGACUACUGGAAUGCUGCAGGAAGGAAAACAGGUAAAUAUAUGUUUGUGUUUAUGAUUAUUUUUUAAAAUUUA